RNAcentral lists this ribosomal RNA (253 nucleotides) under uncultured bacterium. Its description in RNAcentral is "partial 16S ribosomal RNA". It matches the Rfam family "Bacterial small subunit ribosomal RNA", at positions 524 to 776 of the family's 1533-position model. The record is from RNAcentral.
UACAGAGGGUGCAAGCGUUAAUCGGAAUUACUGGGCGUAAAGCGUGCGUAGACGGUUAUGUAAGUCAGAUGUGAAAGCCCCGGGCUCAACCUGGGAAUGGCAUUUGAGACUGCAUAGCUAGGAUGCGGAAGAGGGAAGUGGAAUUUCCGGUGUAGCGGUGAAAUGCGUAGAUAUCGGAAGGAACAUCAGUGGCGAAAGCGACUUCCUGGUCCAGCAUCGACGUUCAGGCACGAAAGCGUGGGGAGCAAACAGG